This 112-nucleotide ribosomal RNA is filed under the name Pogona vitticeps (central bearded dragon). The record is from RNAcentral. Lineage: Eukaryota; Metazoa; Chordata; Lepidosauria; Squamata; Agamidae.
UAUGGUGGACUGCCCUGAGUACGUCUGAUCUUUUCUGAUUUUGAAAGCUAAUCAGGGUCAGACCUGGUUAGUAUUUGAAUGGGAGACCAUCAGGCAAAACUGAUUUCCAGGU